Molecule: long non-coding RNA, 1532 nt
Organism: Hydra vulgaris (swiftwater hydra)
Lineage: Eukaryota; Metazoa; Cnidaria; Hydrozoa; Anthoathecata; Hydridae
Source: RefSeq, a predicted model, not a curated record
AAAUCAUGCUGUAUAUAGAGUUGAUGUAACAAAAUGUCUGCAUAAAGUAAGGUGAUCAAUUAAUAUAACACAUUUAUGAAUAUUUUUAACACUCUUACUUUGAGUAUAAUGUAUAUAAUUUGAGUAUAAUGUAACAGAUUUAUGAAUGUGUGUUUAUUUAUUUUUUGUUUAAAUUUUUCUUUAGAACCAUAGAAAUACCUAAUUUCAAAGAUAAUCUAUAAUCAUUUUAUAAUCAAUCAAUAUUAUAUAAUCAAUUAUAUUUUGUUGAUGUGGAAGUCAUUGUAAAAGAUCUUUCAAACGUAUAUUUUAGCUAUAUUUUAAAGACACAUUAGGCCGGGUGAAUAAAAAAGAGCAAUUGCUCACAAGCAAUUGCUCUGAGUAAAAGUUAAAAGCAAAUGCUCGCCGCAAUAGCAAUUGCUCAAAAAUGUGUGAAUAAAGUUUUGCUAAUCCUCGCAAGCAAUUGCUUUUGUGUCGGAGUAAAAGCUAUAUGCCGUUGCGGAUAUAAGUAGCUUUUUUAACUUUUAAUAUUUAAAAAUGGCUUCUUCAAACCAGAUUUCAAUUGAAUCAAGUGAAAAUAAUAUAGCUAGCCAAAGUUUUAACAAAUGUGAAGAUGAAGUUUUUAUAAACAUACUGUGCGAAUUGCCAAUACUUCUACAAAAAAGCCAAGUUCUAAACGUUAAAAUAAGAAAAAACAAAGCAUUUUUAAAAAUGCAAGACUAAAUGUUCCAAGCAACAGGAACAAAAAUUGAUACAAAAACAUUGGCGAAAAAGAUUGCCAACAUGAAGACAAAGUUAAAAAAAAAGUCUGACAUCCAUCGAACUGGAAACAAGCCUAUAAAACUUUCAGCGAGUGAAGUCAAACUUGCUAAUCUUUUAGAUAUAGAAAAGAAUCCUACCUUCACACAAAUUGAUGGGGCAAUAUCAGCAGGCAUAGUUCAAACUCCCAGUGCUGAAAUGAAUUCUGUAUUCAGCUCAUUAAAAAGUCAAACUAUAUUUUCAUUGCCACCAUCAGUUGAAUUUCUUGGUAAUGUUAAAAGUAGUUGCAGGAACACAUCUUCUCAAGCAUCGAGGUCCAAAAAUUCCAAAAAGAUUAAAACUACCUGGUGAAACUAAAGAAACAACCAAAAUGGACGAAUACAGAGCUUCAGCAUGUGGUCAUGCUGGAGCAGCUAAAAUAUUAUCGGUUAAAAAAUUUAAAGUUGAAAUACACCCCAACAUGUAUUAAAUGAAGAGGAGAUAGACAUUAUUGUUGAUAUAAACGUUGAUAGAAAUAAAACAUAAAAACGUGAAAAUAAAUUUUGGUUACUGUUAAAUGUACAGUAGUUUUAAAUUUACUUAAAUUAAGUUUUUUUUUUACCAUGUAUUACAUUUUCAACAUUUAAAAACGUUAUACGUAGUAUUAAAAGAAGGCUGAAUUAAUUUAAAUUAAUAGAAGUAUCUUUAUACAUUUCAGUAACUAAAAUCUUCUUUAAAAUGUUACUUUUUUAUGUUUUAUUUCAAGUUAGUUUUUAUGUUUCAUUUUAUUUCUUAAA